CCUACGGGAGGCAGCAGUGAGGAAUAUUGGUCAAUGGCCGCAGGGCUGAACCAGCCAAGUCGCGUGAGGGAUGACGGUCCUAUGGAUUGUAAACCUCUUUUGUCAGGGAGCAAAGGGCGCCACGUGUGGCGUUUUGCGAGUACCUGAAGAAAAAGCAUCGGCUAACUCCGUGCCAGCAGCCGCGGUAAUACGGAGGAUCCAAGCGUUAUCCGGAUUUAUUGGGUUUAAAGGGUGCGUAGGCGGAUUGAUAAGUUAGAGGUGAAAUGUCCGAGCUUAACUCGGGAACUGCCUCUAAUACUGUUGAUCUAGAGAGUAGAUGCGGUAGGCGGAAUGUAUGGUGUAGCGGUGAAAUGCUUAGAUAUCACGAAGAACUCCGAUUGCGAAGGCAGCUUACUAAACUGCCACUGACAUUGAUGCUCGAAAGUGUGGGUAUCAAACAGGAUUAGAUACCCCUGUAGUC
Molecule: ribosomal RNA, 460 nt
Filed under: uncultured bacterium
Lineage: Bacteria
Description: partial 16S ribosomal RNA
Rfam family: Bacterial small subunit ribosomal RNA
Source: RNAcentral